This 468-nucleotide ribosomal RNA is filed under the name uncultured bacterium. RNAcentral describes it as "partial 16S ribosomal RNA". It matches the Rfam family "Bacterial small subunit ribosomal RNA", at positions 28 to 507 of the family's 1533-position model. The record is from RNAcentral.
GACGAACGCUGGCGGCGUGCUUAACACAUGCAAGUCGAACGGAAAGGCCCUGCUUUUGUGGGGUGCUCGAGUGGCGAACGGGUGAGUAACACGUGAGUAACCUGCCCUUGACUUUGGGAUAACUUCAGGAAACUGGGGCUAAUACCGGAUAGGAGCUCCUGCUGCAUGGUGGGGGUUGGAAAGUUUCGGCGGUUGGGGAUGGACUCGCGGCUUAUCAGCUUGUUGGUGGGGUAGUGGCUUACCAAGGCUUUGACGGGUAGCCGGCCUGAGAGGGUGACCGGCCACAUUGGGACUGAGGUACGGCCCAGACUCCUACGGGAGGCAGCAGUGGGGAAUAUUGCACCAUGGGCGGAAGCCUGAUGCAGCAACGCCGCGUGCGGGAUGACGGCCUUCGGGUUGUAAACCGCUUUCGCCUGUGACGAAGCGUGAGUGACGGUAAUGGGUAAAGAAGCACCGGCUAACUACGUG